GCCUCAGUAACGGCGAGUGAAGCGGCAACAGCUCAAAUUUGAAAUCUGGCCGUUUCACGGUCCGAGUUGUAAUUUGUAGAGGAUGCUUCGGCUUCGGCCCCGGUCUAAGUUCCUUGGAACAGGACGUCACAGAGGGUGAGAAUCCCGUUUGUGGCCGGCGGCCCCCGCCAUGUGAAGCUCCUUCGACGAGUCGAGUUGUUUGGGAAUGCAGCUCUAAAUGGGAGGUAAAUUUCUUCUAAAGCUAAAUACCGGCCAGAGACCGAUAGCGCACAAGUAGAGUGAUCGAAAGAUGAAAAGCACUUUGGAAAGAGAGUUAAAAAGUACGUGAAAUUGUUGAAAGGGAAGCGCUUGCGACCAGACUUGCCCGCGGAUGCUCAACCGGUCCUCCGGCCGGUGCACUCUUCCGCGGUCAGGCCAGCAUCAGUUCGGGCGGUCGGAUAAAGGCCUCGGGAAUGUAUCUCUCUUCGGGGAGUGUUAUAGCCCUUGGUGCAAUACGGCCCGCCUGGACUGAGGCCCGCGCUUCGUGCUAGGAUGCUGGCGUAAUGGUCGUAAGCGGCCCGUCUUG
RNAcentral lists this ribosomal RNA (565 nucleotides) under Helicosporium gracile. RNAcentral's name for it is "eukaryotic LSU rRNA". It matches the Rfam family "Eukaryotic large subunit ribosomal RNA", at positions 77 to 656 of the family's 3401-position model. The record is from RNAcentral. Lineage: Eukaryota; Fungi; Ascomycota; Dothideomycetes; Tubeufiales; Tubeufiaceae.